RNAcentral lists this unclassified non-coding RNA (332 nucleotides) under soil metagenome. RNAcentral describes it as "partial contains 5.8S ribosomal RNA, internal transcribed spacer 2, and large subunit ribosomal RNA". The stretch from base 1 to 120 matches the Rfam family "5.8S ribosomal RNA", at positions 35 to 154 of the family's 154-position model. The record is from RNAcentral.
GAUGAAGAACGUAGCGAAAUGCGAUACGUAAUGUUAAUUGCAGAUUUCAGUGAAUCAUCGAAUCUUUGAACGCACAUUGCGCCCGCUAGUAUUCUGGCGGGCAUGCCUGUUCGAGCGUCAUUUCAACCAUCAAGCCCUAGGCUUGCGUUGGAGCCCUGCGGCUGCCGCAGGCUCCCAAAUCCAGUGGCGGGCUCGUCGUCGUACCGAGUGUAGUAAACAUCCUCGCUCAGGGAACGUGACGGGUUCUUGCCGUGAAACCCCCCACAUAUCAAGGUUGACCUCGGAUCAGGUAGGAAUACCCGCUGAACUUAAGCAUAUCAAUAAGCGGAGGA